CGUGCCAGCAGCCGCGGUAAUACGGAGGAGGCAAGCGUUAUCCGGAAUUAUUGGGCGUAAAGCGUCCGCAGGGGGCACUUCAAGUCUGCUGUCAAAGGUCGGAGCUUAACUCCGGUUCGGCAGUGGAAACUGGAGUGCUAGAGGGCGACAGGGGUAGAGGGAAUUCCCAGUGUAGCGGUGAAAUGCGUAGAGAUUGGGAAGAACACCGGUGGCGAAAGCGCUCUACUGGGUCGCACCUGACCCUCAGGGACGAAAGCUAAGGUAGCGAAAGGGAUUAGAUACCCCUGUAGUCUUAGCCGUAAACGAUGGAUACUAGGCGUGGUUUGUAUCGACCCAAGCCGUGCCGAAGCUAACGCGUUAAGUAUCCCGCCUGGGGAGUACGCACGCAAGUGUGAAACUCAAAGGAAUUGACGGGGGCCCGCACAAGCGGUGGAGGAUGUGGUUUAACUCGAUGCAACGCGAAGAACCUUACCAGGGCUUGACAUCCCGCGAAUCUUGCUGAAAGGUGAGAGUGCCUUCGGGAGCGCGGAGACAGGUGGUGCAUGGCUGUCGUCAGCUCGUGUCGUGAGAUGUUGGGUUAAGUCCCGCAACGAGCGCAACCCUCGUCCUUAGUUGCCAGCAUUAAGUUGGGCACUCUAGGGAGACUGCCGGUGACAAACCGGAGGAAGGUGAGGAUGACGUCAAGUCAGCAUGCCCCUUAUGCUCUGGGCGACACACGUCCUACAAUGGUCGGGACAAAGGGGAGCAAGCUCGCGAGAGUAAGCGAAUCCCAGCAAACUCGGCCUCAGUUCAGAUUGCAGGCUGCAACUCGCCUGCAUGAAGGAGGAAUCGCUAGUA
This 837-nucleotide ribosomal RNA is filed under the name uncultured organism. RNAcentral describes it as "bacterial SSU rRNA". It matches the Rfam family "Bacterial small subunit ribosomal RNA", at positions 504 to 1340 of the family's 1533-position model. The record is from RNAcentral.